GAUGAACGCUGGCGGCGUGCCUAAUACAUGCAAGUCGAGCGAACAGACGAGGAGCUUGCUCCUCUGACGUUAGCGGCGGACGGGUGAGUAACACGUGGAUAACCUACCUAUAAGACUGGGAUAACUUCGGGAAACCGGAGCUAAUACCGGAUAAUAUAUUGAACCGCAUGGUUCAAUAGUGAAAGACGGUCUUGCUGUCACUCAUACAUGGAUCCGCGCCGCAUUAGCUAGUUGGUAAGGUAACGGCUUACCAAGGCAACGAUGCGUAGCCGACCUGAGAGGGUGAUCGGCCACACUGGAACUGAGACACGGUCCAGACUCCUACGGGAGGCAGCAGUAGGGAAUCUUCCGCAAUGGGCGAAAGCCUGACGGAGCAACGCCGCGUGAAUGAUGAAGGUCUUCGGAUCGUAAAACUCUGUUAUUAGGGAAGAACAAAUGUGUAAGUAACUAUGCACGUCUUGACGGUACCUAAUCAGAAAGCCACGGCUAACUACGUG
This 497-nucleotide ribosomal RNA is filed under the name uncultured bacterium. Its description in RNAcentral is "partial 16S ribosomal RNA". It matches the Rfam family "Bacterial small subunit ribosomal RNA", at positions 28 to 507 of the family's 1533-position model. The record is from RNAcentral.